GCUCUACCAUCUGAGCUACAUCCCCUUUUGAUAUCUUA
Molecule: small RNA, 38 nt
Filed under: Arabidopsis thaliana (thale cress)
Lineage: Eukaryota; Viridiplantae; Streptophyta; Magnoliopsida; Brassicales; Brassicaceae
Description: ATSL244510
Source: RNAcentral